This 17087-nucleotide long non-coding RNA is filed under the name Olea europaea (common olive). RNAcentral's name for it is "long non-coding RNA (OEUR_LNC002584)". The record is from RNAcentral. Lineage: Eukaryota; Viridiplantae; Streptophyta; Magnoliopsida; Lamiales; Oleaceae.
CUACACUUAGUAAAGAAGCUAAUAGCAUUUUCCUUCGGCAUGUGAUUGUGCGAGAGACGCAUUUGAUUCUGCAAAUGGAUACAUAAACAGAAAGUUAGACUUAGCAAAGAUGAAUUAUUGACGUAGGUUUGGAAGUUUCAGGGAUGAUAAUGACUUUGAAAUUGACAGUGAGCCUCGAAAUUAUCGCACGACUAUGCAUGGCAACGAUGAGCAUGACAAGAUCAAGAAGGAUAGACUAGAUUUUUUCUUUUCAAUGUAAUCCCAGUCUUUUAGUCUGGUUAAGGAUUUUCUUUAAUUUUCCAGCUGAAGUGAGGUUGCACUUCUCUCCUAAGUCUCUUACUUUUUGCAUUACAAAUAAUAAGUACUCUUACUUAGUGUCAGGGACGGAUUUAGGAUUGAAUUCAAGACCGGACUAUAAAAUUUCAAAUCGGGUUGUUACAUGGAAAAAAAAAAUUUGCACAUAAAAAAUUGAUUUUUUACCCAAAAAAAAUAGAAAAAAAAAACUUUAAAAAAAAAUUUGUUCCCCAAAUCCGUCCCUGCUUAGUGCCUGUUUCAUUACUUUUAAUUGGAGAGAAAAUGAGUUUUAAAUAGUAUUUUGAGAAGAAUACAUGGAUAAAAAGUAGAAAAAAUAUUGAAAGUAUAUGUAGAAUAUUUUAUUGUGUGAAUGUGUAGUUAAAAAUGAGCUUAUAGCAAAUCAUAAAAUAAGUUAAUGAGAAUCACACAGGCCCUUAGUGGUUUGAUUUUUAUUUUUUAUUUUCUGGGGAAAAAAAAUAAAAACCCUAUAACGCCUACUGAUUUCUUCUUUUUGCAGAUUCAUUUGAUUUCUCUAUAGCUAAUUUCAGUUUCUAUUCAAGCAUGAGAUUAAAACAAUUACACUAACUAUUAGUUUAAUGUUAUCAAAACUGUCAUUUGUAUUCAUCUCCUAUUUACUACAAACUUUAAGUGAUUUAAAUGCAGUAAAGUUAUAAAGAGUGUGUGCAAAUUGGACAUUAAAGCCAUUCUCAUUCCAUAUAAAUAUUUAACCCGUCUAUCUCUAAUUUCUCAAAUUUGGUUUCAAGAUCGGUACAAACACUCAGAAAAGAAAUAUUCAGCCAUUAUCUUCCAGUUCAAGAAAAUGCCUAACACCAGAACCAUACAUGCGAUUGUCCUUAUAUUUGCAUGCAUUUCAGCCAUGGCUGCACCAAAUUAUGCACAACAAUUUGGUGGAGGUUUCCCCACUGGCUUUCCCGGUUUUAACGGCUUUGGUCUGCAACAAGUUUUCCGAUGUAUCCCCAAUGUUUCAACCGUACCAAACUGUGUCAAUCAAUUUCUGGUAUCCGGCUACAGCCUUCAACCUGAAUUGCUUGGUCCUGAAUGUUGCAAGGUAUUCUUGCAAGUUGAUGAAAACUGUUUGUCACAGAUGAUGGUACCUGUGAAUCCAAUGUUCCCAUCGAUUUUCAAGAACUAUUGCACGUCGAUACAGAUUUGAACAAUAUUACAGGGUGCUUAGAAAUAUUGCAUGAAAUAUUAGCAAUAAAGUGAAGGAAUGCUGAUCCUUAUUCUCUUCUUCAUUUUUUAUUUUUUUUUUUCCCUGAACUUCUCGAUUCCCUCUCUUCUACUUUGGAACCCCCUCUGGAAAAAUAGAGAUCGUUAGAUGAUUUAGAUAAGGAUAAUUCUUCUGCAAAUUAGAAGUAACGCUAGUUUUAAUUUAUUUAUUUUUAAUUUUUAAUUUUUAAUUUUUUUUAUGUUCUUAACUACUUGAAAUGAAUAAAUCUCUGUCUUCGAGGAAAAUUAGAGUUGUGAAAUGAGAUUGGUCGGAAUAUUGAAGCACAAGCUAACACACCGUCAAUUUGUUGAAUUUUUCUUAAAAUUUUGCGGAAAUUGAGAUCUUUGAAUCCGAAAAAAUUCAUAGGUGAUACCAUCAAAGGAUGUACGAAGAUAUAUUUCUGGACUUUUUAGGAAUAAGAAAGAUAAUAAAAUAAAUGAAAAGAUGUCAAGUAAUGGCAUGCCAUUCCAACAUUUUAAGUAAUGACAUCUAUCAUUAGUAGAAUACAUCAUGAAUCAUGCGACAAUGGAUCAUCUGAUACAUUGUCCAAUAGAGUUGUGAUGUAUUUUAAUGCAUCGAACAAUAAAGCACGAGAAUCAUUACCACCUACCUCUAUUAAUAAUACAUAGAAUUGUACCAACAUUUUAUGUAACGCUAUCCACGUGGCAUGACAUGGCAUGCUAUUCACUAAACAUGGAACGCAAGAUGUAUGAGCCCAGAUAGAGUAAUGUUAUGUAGCACAAAUGGUAUUCUAACACUAAUCUAUAUGACACUGCUUGGUAGGUCUAAUUAAACGUAGUCCCAUAACACCAUAUUUAGCCCCCGUUAAAUUAAAUUUCAUUUUUCUCAUUCCUAUUUUCAAUUAUACAAUUUUCAAUAAAAUAAUAUUACACGUAAAUCGAAAACUUUACCUUCUUGUUCAACCAUUCACUCUUCAAAAAAAUAUUAUUCCAACCAUUUUAAUUUAAAAAAGGGAAGCCAAACGGGGGCUUAAUGAAACUAUAAUGUCAUAUAACGGGUGUUAUUAAACCAGUUGGGUAAUAUAGCAUUAUUCACCCGGAUAUGUUAUAAAACACGGCGACCAAUGAGUUGGCUACAACAUCUUUACAAGUUGAGAAAAUAUUACAUUGUAAGCAAAUAUGAAUUUAAAAAUAAUAGAAAAAAAAUAAGAGCCAAAGAGCUCUACAUUCCUAAAUUGUGAUGAAUAUAUAGCAUGAGCAAUUGUAGAACAUAAAAAUCUUAUUGACGAAUAUUUGGACAUGAACAAUGGAUCUUUUUUAGUAAUGCAGUAUGAAACAUGCUAACACCGAGCCCUUAAUCAUCCAAUGAAAUGACUCAAGACACUAGGUUUUUAGGACAAAAAAACUUACAAAAGAAAGUGACAAAAGAUGGGGGAAACAACAUUUUGUGCAGCCUUCGUCGAAAUGCGAUAUCUCAGCAUUCUAUCAUUAAGUCCCUCAUUAGCUCAGAUUUUAAUCAAAUUUUAAUUUGAAUCAAAGUGAAACAAUUAAGAUUAAUUAACAUCUUUCAUGAGCCCCACAACUUUUCAACCACACAUUUCAAAAACUUCUAUCAAAAUUUACUAAAAAUCUAAUUUUAAUCUCCACCAAACACCAUAUAAAUCAAGCUGAAAAUGAAGAAAUAUGGAUAUUAGUUUCUAUAUUUUUAAAGUCAAGAUUUAAGGUCCAUUUGAUUGCAAGAAUGAAAUUUGGGUGGAAAGAAAAUGAAUUUCAGAUAAUUGAAUUGCCUAAAACUUGUUUUAUUGAAAAUUAUCAAUUAAAUAUGUUUGAUUAGUAUAAUUUUUUAUCGGAAAAAUAUUGAAGUUUUUGAUCUUUUGUUAUUUGUUUGGUUUUUUUUCAUGAACAUUAUCAAUUAAAAUGAUAGAAUUUGUUUCAAUUGCCAAAAAAAAGACGAAAAACCCAAUUCUCCCUAUUAAGAUCAGUUGAAGCACUUGGCGGCAAACAUUAGUUUAGUUAGUUAAAAUCAGUUGCAGUUAGUUAGAGUUGUUAAUUACAGCUAGUUUAGUUACAGGUGGUUUUUCCACUUUCCCGCCUCACUUUUGGAUUGCUAUUUAUAGCACAUGUAUACCUCAUUUCGAACUUGAAUAAGAAAAUUCAUUUUUCAAAAUCCUCAACAUGGUAUCAGAGCAAACAUGCUCUCAGCUCCGCCAUUAGAUUUCGACAGAUUGACUGAUUCAUUAUGGCAGGCAUCUCAGAUCAGAAUCAAUCAAACCAAAAUUUGUCCUCAUCAGUGAGUCAUUCCACCAUUGAUGAUGGCUCCAGUCCGUAUUAUCUUCAUCACUCGGACAGUCCUUGUCUCAUUCUCGUUUCACAGCCCCUAACAGGUGAGAACUAUACUUCCUGGAGUAGUGCUAUGACAAUAGCAUUAUCCGUGAAGAACAAAUUGGGAUUUAUUGAUGAAUCCAUCAGUCGACCCGAAGGUAAUGUGGAUCUCCUUAAUUCAUGGAUUCGUAAUAACAAUAUUGUUAUUUCAUGGAUCCUUAAUUAUGUAUCAAAGGACAUUUCAGCUAGCAUAAUAUACUAUGAAUCUGCUCAUGAAAUCUGGACUGAUCUUAAGGAACGCUUUCAACAAAGAAAUGGUCCAAGAAUUUUUCAAUUAAAGCGUGAAUUAAUGAAUCACACACUAUGACAGAUGUCUAUUAGUGUCUAUUCACUAAACUAAAAGCUAUUUGGGAGGAACUUAGCAACUAUAGACCUUCAUGCUCGUGUGGAAAGUGUGAAAGUGGAGGAAAUAAGAAAUUAGUUGAAUUUUACCACAUGGAAUAUGUCAUGUCCUUCCUAAUGGGAUUAAAUGAGUCUUAUGCUCAGGUUCGAGGACAACUACUACUUAUGGAUCCUAUUCCCCCUCUCAAUAAGGUGUUUUCACUGAUCAGCCAAGAGGAACAUCAAAGAGCUAUAAACAGUCAUGCUUCCUUGGCUUUCUAUGCCAAAAAUGAUACAAAAAUGAUGAAUGCUGGACCAUCCCAUAGCAAAAAUCAGAAGAGGGAAGGACCUAUCUGUUCUUAUUGUAGAUUUGGAGGCCAUGUCGUUGAUAAAUGUUAUAAACUCCAUGGCUACCCACCAGGAUACAAGCCAAAGCAGAAAACAAGUUUAACUAGCUAAACAGGAACAAAUUCAAGGAAUCGGGCAAGUUACAAUUUUCAAUCAAACAAUGCAGUGGCUAACCAAAUUUCUGAUUCUAUUCCAGAGCAAACCACCACUGGCGAUGUUGGGAGCUUCAUGCAGACAUUGAAUCCUGAACAAUACCAACAUUUAAUGAGCAUGCUGAACACACACCUUGUGACUGCAAAAUUGGAGAAUGAAGGAGCUAAUUCUGACCAUGUCUCAAGUACUUGUUUCUCAAUUUUCAUUAAUCAAAUCUUCAAUUUUCCUGGAUAUUGGGUGCUAGAUUCAGGAGCAACUAGCCAUGUUUACUUCAAUCGUACAUCAUUUCAAACGCUAAAGGCAGUGGAGAAUUUCUAUAUUACACUUCCUAAUCGUUCCAGGAUUCCUGUACACUUUGCUGGAAUUGUUAAAGUUACUCCUGAAUUGGUUCUUGAAGAUGUGUUAUUUGUUCCCCAAUUCAAUUUCAAUCUGUUGUCUAUUAGCUCUCUGACCAGAAUCAAAUAUAAGCAUCAAAUUUCUCACUGAAUAUUGUGAUAUUCAGGAUCUAUGCAGCUUGAAGACGACUGACAGGGGUAAAAGAGUUGAUGGCCUUACAUCAUUGAUGCAACAAGUGUGAUGAAAAAUGAAUGUAAUUCGUUUGAAAAUGUGCAUAAUUCUGUAGUGAAUAAUGUGACCUCUCAUGUAUGGCUUCAUAGACUAGGUCAUUUGUCUUUUAAAAGAUUGGAGACUUUGAGAAAUCAGUUCCGUUUCAAGAAUGAUAGAACUGAUUCUGCACCUUGUUAUAUUUGUCCACUUGCUAAGCAAAGAAGGUUAUCGUUUGUCUCGAAUAACCAUCUAUCUCCCAAUGCAUUUGAUCAUAUUCAUUGCAAUAUUUGGGGUCCAUAUAGCUCUUCAACACGAGAUGGCCACAAAUUUUUUCUCACAUUAGUCGAUGAUUGCACAAGAUUUACAUGGGUUUAUCUUAAAACAAAAGGCUGAUGUGCACGCCAUCGUUCUCAGAUUUUUCAGCCUUAUUGAAACACAGUUUCACAAAAUCAUUAAAGUAUUCAGAUCUAGUAAUGCUCCUGAGUUGCAUUUUACAUAUUUCUUUAAGUCAAAGGGUGUGUUUCAUCAAUUUUCUUGUGUUGAACGACCUGAGCAAAACUCAGUUGUUGAAAGAAAACACCAACAUAUACUUAAUGUAGCAAGAGCUCUAUUCUUCUAGUCCCAAGUCCCUAUCUCAUUCUGGGGUGAUUGUGUCUUCGCGGCAACGUAGCUCAUCAAUAGAACUCUAAUAAGCCACAGAUUCACAUUCAGUAUAAUAGGCGCAAAAAGGAUUCAAGGGCAGAAAAGGGAAAGCCGAAAGAAGGAAGUUUCAUGCACAUGGGCGCAACAGAUUCGGUUGAGCAAGCUGUUACAAGUCCAGUGGUAUAUAAGCAAGAAGAGAAGAGGGGAGGCGUAGGAAUGAAGUAGGAGAUUCCAAUAGGAGAGCUUGGCCCUCUCGAAUGUCCAGUUAUAUUGUUCUUUUUUUUUCUUCUGAGUAUUUCUAUAAAUUGUAUGAGUUGUUCCCAUUCAGUUUAAUACCAAUUACGAGUUUCAUUUUUCAUUGUUUUCUUGUUAUUUGAAGUUUAUUAGCACUGUAAUUCAGUUUACUAAGCAGGAAGCACAUCAAUUUGGUAUCAGAGCAGUUCCUGGUCAUGACGCUAACAGAUCGAGUAGGGAAAUUGGAGGGCCGGAUGAUUGAACAUCAUCGCAGUAUGGAGAAGAGAUUGGAGACAGUCCAGGCGAGCAUGGAUUUAAUGAAGGCGGAGAUUCACAGAGUGCACGGCAUCGAGAAGAACAUGAACCUACUGAUGAAGCAGUUCAAAUUCAUCAUGGGUCAUUGGGAGGAACGUGAGAAGGAGCGAAACAAGAAGGGGCUAGAUGAGGCCCCUUCGACAGGAUUCACCAUGGAUUCAGGGGUCACCGUACCCGGGGAAGAAGAAGAAGAACAAUAUAACUGGACAUUCAAGAGGUCCAAGCUCUCCUAUUGGAAUCUCUUACUUCUUUCCUACGCCUUCUCUCUUCUCUUCUUGCUUAUAUACUACUGGACCUGUAACAGCUUACUCAACCAAAUUUGUUGCACCCAUGUGCAUGAAACUUCCUUCUUUUGGCCUUUCCUUUUCUGCCCUUGAAUCCUUCUUGCGCCUAUUAUACUGAAUGUAAAUCUGUGGCUUAUCAUUACUCCUCCCCACGAGACUCACCUUUUCCUCAAUGAGAAAGUCUGGAAACUAAUUUUUAAGAGUUUCAAACGAUUCCCAAGUUGCUUCUAAGGGAGGUAGUCCUUUCCAUUGAAUCAAUACUUCAAGACUCCUGAUGUUCUUUCCCUUUCCUGGUCGAACUUCUAGCAUAGCCUCUGGUUCUACUAACAUCUCCAUUUCAUCAUUCAAGUGGCUUGGAAUGUCUAACACCACCUGAGACUGACCUUCUGCCUUUCGUAAUUGAGACACAUGAAAGACUGGGUGAAUGUGGCAGGUUUGGGGAAGUGUUAAUUUAUAAGCUACCUUCCCAAUUCUCUUCUCGAUCGAGUAUGGUCCAUAGAAUCUUGGGGCCAAUUUCUCAUUUGGCCUUGAUGACAAUGACUUGAGUCAAUUGGUAUCAAUAGCAACAAAGGAGGAUGAAGGUCCAAAGUUGGGAGCAGCUAAAAAAAUUGGUAUUGAGUCGAUUUCGAUCGGCACAUGGGGAGACCGGUGAGGAAAAAUUCCUAGUUCUCCGACAAGAUGGCUCGGUGAGGAAAUACCGCCAGUGGUUCGAACUCUUGGCCGCUCCACUGUCGAAAAUAUCAGAGGCCCUACUGGAAGGGCAUUUCAUCAAAUGGUUGAAGCCAGAAAUCAAAGCUGAAUUAAAGGUAUUAAAGCCCAAAGGUCUGGAAGAAAUUAUGGAGGCGGCCCAACGGAUUCAGGACAAAAUUAAUAUGGGCCAACGAUAUUGGGCCGGGCCGGGUCGGGUCCAGGAAGAAAUAAAGGGAUGAAUUAUUUGACCCAACCUACUAUUUCAAACCCACCCAGCAAAUCGGUCCUAAAUUCCUCUCUGCAGCCCCCGAGAUUUACCCAAAAUUUACCCCCAAUACAGCCGAUCCCAAGUCACCACCCACGUCCGACGUCAGCGACGACAGUACCAGCAGUGGCAACCGAAAAACCCUCCGGCCCAACUUUCAAAAGGUUGAGUGAGGCAGAGUUUCAGGCAAAGAAUGAGAAGGGGCUUUGCUUUAAAUGUGAUGAAAAAUACUCUAUCGGGCAUAAAUGCCAGAACAAAGAGCUCCAGGUCAUGGUAAUUCUGGAUGAGAAAAUUCUGGAAGAAAUAGAAGACGUGGGAAAAGAUUCGCAGAAAAUGGAGAUGAACUAAGUGAGAGAGGUGAUGGAACUUUCAAUCAAUUCUGUGGUCGGGUUGACAUCUCCACAAACUAUAAAAGUUGAAGGAUUAAUCGAAAAUCAGGAAGUGGUGGUGCUGAUUGAUUGUGGGGCCACUCAUAAUUUUAUCUCAGCCGAGCUGGUUCAGAAACUGGGGCUGCCUAGGAUGGAAACUUCAGGAUAUGGCGUGAUCAUGGGUACAGGCUUUGUAGUGCAAGGUGCAGGUAUAUGUAAAGGAGUAACUCUAUCUCUGCAAAACUUGGAAAUCACUGAAAAUUUCCUUCCUCAAGAACUGGGUAGUUCAAAUGCGAUUCUUGACAUGAAAUGGUUGUCGUCGUUGGGGAAGAUGUUUGUGGACUGGAAGUCUUUAACCAUGCGCUUCCAAGUGGGCGACACCAAUGUCGCGCUACAUGGGGAUCCCAGUCUUAGCAAAACAUUGGUGAGCUUAAAGUCAAUGAUGAAGGCUUUUCGAAGAGGUGGAGAAGGAAUUCUGUUAGAACUGGGAAGUCUGUCAAUAGAAAUAGACAGUUCCCAGCCAUAUGUACCGGGGGAACUGGAACAGGUAAUGAGGGAGUUUGGUGGAAUUUUUCAAGAACCAAGGGGGUUAACUCCCCACCGUGGAAAGGAUCAUUCCAUAGUGCUACAGGAAGGAACGGCUCCAAUGAGUAUACGGUCGUACCGAUAUCCCUACAGCUAGAAGAAUAAGAUUGAGAAGUUGGUUCGUGAGAUGUUGGCCGCCGGUAUAAUUAGACCAAGCACAAGUCCAUUUUCCAGUCCAGUCCUGUUAGUCAAGAAGAAGGAUGGGGGAUAGCGUCUCUGCGUGGAUUACAGGGCGCUGAAUAAGGCCACAGUACCGGAUAAAUUUCUGAUCCCAGUUGUAGAAGAACUACUGGGCAAAUUGCAUGGAGUCACGAUUUUUUCAAAGCUAGACUUGAAGGCUGGAUACCAUCAAAUUAGGGUAUCCCCUCUGGAUAUUCCAAAAAUGACCUUUCGAACUCAUGAGGGACAUUAUGAGUUUUUGGUGAUGCCAUUUGGGUUGACCAAUGCACCAGCGACGUUCCAAGAACUAAUGAAUAUAAUUUUUAAAGAAAGGUUAAGGCAGUCGGUCCUAGUCUUUUUUGACGACAUCCUGGUUUACAGUCGGAUAUGGAGCAGCAUCAAGAGGACUUGAGGUGGAUUUUUGAGGUUCUUAAGAAAAAUCGGUUGCAUCUAAAUGGGAAGAAAUGUGUAAUUGGCCAGCCAGAAGUGGAAUAUUUAGGUCAUGCUAUCUCUCAGCAAGGUGUGGCAGCGGAUAAAGAAAAGCUCAAGGCAAUGUUAUUGGCCGAGUCCGGGGACGUUGCAGGAACUUCGUGGGUUCCUAGGACUGACUGGGUAUUAUAGGACGUUUGUAAAGGACUAUGGCAAAAUUACAUGGCCAUUGACUGAGAGGUUAAAGAAGAAGAAUUUCUACUGGGAUGAAGCAGCAGAACAGGCCUUCCAGGAACUCAAGGGAAAAAUGAUGUCCUUGCCAGUUCUGAGGUUACCAGAUUUUACAAAGGCAUUUGUGGUUGAAUCGGACGCUUCGGGAUAUGGGUUAGGUAUGGUAUUGAUGCAGGAAAAUAGGCCCAUUGCUUUCUUUAGUCAGGCACUUAAUCAGAAGGGCGGAGAAAAGUCAGUUUAUGAGAGGGAGUUGAUGUCUAUAGUCUUCACAGUACAAAAGUGGCGCCAUUAUUUGUUGGGACACCGUUUCAUAGUUCGGACAGAUCAGAAAAGUUUGAAAUUCUUAUUGGAACAAAGGGUAAUCACUCCGGAAUAUCAGAAAUGGCUGGUGAAACUUAUGGGAUAUCAGUUUGACAUUCAGUACAAGCCAGGAUUGGAGAACAAGGCCGCUAAUGCCCUCUCUCGCAUUAAGCAUUUGCCAUCGUUGAUGGCCUUGUCACUACCAGCAGUUGUGCAAUUGGAACAGCUCAGCAGAGAAGUAGAAGCAGAUGAAAAGUUACGUAAGAUUGUGGUGGAGCUGAAGGCUGAUCCGUCCACAUGGCUAAACUACUCUGUGAAGGAAGGGCAGCUAUUAUAUAAAGGCAGAUUGGUUCUACCAGUUGGGUCGACCUUGAUUUCAUUGAUUAUGCAAGAGGGACAUGAUCAUAGUUUGGGGGAGACAUUCAAGAUUCUUGAAAACAUAUAAGCGGAUUUUCAUGAAUGUCUAGUGGGUGGGAAUGAAGAAGGAUAUUCGCCUAUAUGUCAAAAAUUGCGUAGUGUGCCAACAGAAUAAAUAUGAAUCCUUAUCCCCAAGAGGAUUGUUACAGCCCUUGGCCAUUCUUGAUCAGGUAUGGGAAGAUAUAGCUAUGGAUUUCGUGGAAGGAUUACCAAAGUCAGGAGGCUGGGAUACCAUAUUAGUAGUGGUGGAUAGACUUAGUAAGUAUGCCCAUUUUGUACCUUAAAGCACCCGUUUUCAGCAAUCACGGUAGCUGGAAUCUUUGUCAGAGAAAUUGUGCCCCUUCAUGGUAUUCCGCGGUCCAUUGUCUCAGACCGGGAUAAAAUUUUCAUGAGUGGAUUCUAGAAUGAGUUAUUUAAACUACAGGGUACAAAACUUUGCCGUAGCACUGCAUACCACCCGCAAUUCGAUGGGCAAUCUGAGGUAGUAAACCGCACACUAGAAACGUAUCUCCGUUGUUUCGCCUCUUCCAAACCAAAGUCUUGGGCUUGUUGGCUUCCAUGGGCAGAGUUAUGGUAUAAUACCUCCUACCAUACAGCUUCCAAACUAACACCCUUCCAAUGUUUGUAUGGAAGGGAUCCACCACUGUUAUUGAGGUUUGAAAAGGGAUCUACUCCUUUUUCAGUUGUAGAAAAGCAAUUAUCAGAGAGGGAUCGCAUGUUGGAGGAGUUAAAGCAUCAAUUGACGAAGGCACGGGCUCAAAUGAAACGGACAGCUGAUGCAAAAAGAAGGGAAGUUCAGUUCAAUGUGGGGGAUUGGGUAUAUCUGAAGAUACGUCCUUAUCGACGCAAGUCAUUGUCAUCAAGGCCAAAUGAGAAAUUGGCCCCAAGAUUCUAUGGACCAUACUCGGUCGAGAAGAGAAUUGGGAAGGUAGCUUACAAAUUAACACUUCUCCCAACCUGCCACAUUCACCCAAUCUUUCAUGUGUCUCAAUUACGAAAGGCAGAAGGUCAGUCUCAAGUGGUGUUAGACAUUCCAAGCCACUUGAAUGAUGAAAUGGAGAUGUUAGUAGAACCAGAGGCUGUGCUAGAAGUCCGACUAGGAAAGGGGAAGAACAUCAGGAGUCUUGAAGUAUUGAUUCAAUAGAAAGGACUACCUCCCUUAGAAGCAACUUCGGAACCGUUUGAAACUCUUAAAAAUCAGUUUUCAGACUUUCACCUUGAGGACAAGGUGAGUCUCGUGGGGAGGAGUAAUGAUAAGCCACAGAUUCACAUUUAGUAUAAUAGGCAUUCAAGGGCAGAAAAGGGAAAGCCGAAAGAAGGAAGUUUCAUGCACAUGGGCUCAAAAGAUUCGGUUGAGUAAGCUAUUACAGGUCCAGUAGUAUAUAAGCAAGAAGAGAAGAGAGGAGGCGCAGGAAAUAAGUAGGAGAUUCCAAUAGGAGAGCUUGGACCUCUCGAAUGUCCAGUUAUAUUGUUCUUUUUUUCUUCUGAGUAUUUCUAUAAAUUGUAUGAGUUGUUCCCAGUCAGUUUAAUACCAAUUACGGGUUUCAUUUUUCAUUUUUUCCUGUUAUUUGAAGUUCAUUAGCACUGUAAUUCAGUUUACUAAGCAGGAAACACAUCAAACUCCUUCACCAAUCCUACAAAACAAGACACCAUUCUCCUUACUCUACAACUCAUCAGUAGACUACAACUUUCUUGGAGUAUUUGGAAGUCUUUGUUUUGCAUCUACUCUCACAGCUCAUCGCCUAAAGUUUCAUCCUAGAGCAAGAACCUGUGUGUUUAUUGGCUAUCACCCUGGUGCCAAGGGAUAUCGUUUGCAUGAUAUCAUAUCCAAAAUUGUUUUCAUUUCAAGGGAUGUGAUAUUUCAUGAACUAAUAAUCCCCUUCCACUAUGUCUCCAAAAAUUCUGAGAUUAUUGACUCUUUUCCUGAUCUUGUUUUGCCUCAUCCUGCCACAUAUAUACAAACCUCUAUCAAAGAAAUGUCCUCUAGUUGCCCUCCAAGUACAAAUCUUUCUGAUAUCAUAACCCCAUCUAACAACCCUCCUCUCAGAAUGUCCCUUAGAGUUAUUAAACCUCCCUCAUAUCUUCAAGAUUUCCAUUGCAAUUUCAUAUCUAAAAGUCUUAACCAUGCUGCAUCAUCUUCCUGUCCAUAUCCCUUGAGUGAUUACCUUUCAUAUACAAAAUUCUCUCAGUCCCAUAGUAACUUUUUUCUCAAUGUAUCUUCAAACUUUGAACCACAAUUUUAUCAUCAAGCAGUAAGAUAUGACCAUUGGAAAGAGGCUAUGGCAAAUGAGUUAACAGCCAUGGAGUCCAACAAAACCUGGUCCAUUACCAACUUGCCUAAAGGAAAACAUUCCAUAGGUUGCAAAUGGGUGUACAAAGUCAAGUAUAAAUCUGAUGUUAUUGUUGAUAGAUACAAAGCUCGUUUGGUGGCCAAAGGCUACACUUAACAAGAGUGAUCGGAUUUUUUGGAAGCAUUUUCUCCAGUUGCAAAAUUGGUCACUGUGAAGCUUCUCUUAGCCAUUGUUGCCAUUAACAAGUGGCACAUUAUUCAAUUGGAUGUCAAUAACGCCUUCCUUCAUGGGGAUCUCUUUGAAGAAAUUUACUUGGAUUUACCUUUGGGUUAUAAUCAUCCCAUCCCUUCUGAAAAUCAGGCAAAUUGUUUGGUAUGUAAGUUGCAUAAAUCUAUCUAUGGCUUGAAACAAGCCUCAAGACAAUGGUUUUCAAAAUUUUCUCAUGCCCUUUUACUACAUGGUUUCCAACAGUCUAAAUCUAAUUACUCUUUGUUCACAAAAGGUUCCGGAAGUAGCUUUGUUGCUUUGCUAGUCUACGUCGAUGAUAUAGUCAUCACCGGAUCAGAUUUACAGGUUAUUAACAACUUGAAGACAUUUCUACACAGCCAAUUUAAGCUCAAAGAUCUUGGCAAACUUAAAUAUUUUCUUGGUUUGGAUAUUGCUCGUUCCCAGCAAGGUAUUGUCCUCUCUCAAAGGUACUAUGCCCUUCAAUUACUUGAAGUUAUCGAAUUUUUUGCCUGCAAGCCUGCUACCCUACCAAUGGAUCCGAAGGUUCGACUAAACUCAUUUGAGGGGGAGCUGCUGGAAGGUGUCUCUUUAUAUAGGCGACUGACCUCCUAUACCUAACCAUUUCAACACCGAACAUCACAUUCGCAGUUCACAAACUCAGUCAAUUUGUUUCUCAACCGCAAAAGCCUCACUUAAAUGCUGCUCAUCAUUUGCUACGAUACAUUAAGGCUACUCCAGGACAAGGCCUCUUAUUCUCAGCUGAUUCAACAUUACAGUUACGUGCCUUUGCCAAUGCAGAUUGGGGAUCAUGCUUAGAUUCUAGAAAAUCGGUUACUGGAUUUUGUGUUUUCCUUGGGGAUUCCAUGGUGUUAUGGAAGGCUAAGAAACAAAGUACAGUCUCCAAAUCAUCUGCUGAAGCCAAAUAUCGUGCAUUGGCAUCAACAACCAGUGAACUUGUACGGAUACAUCAAUUGCUUCUUGACUUGCAUAUAAGUCCUGAAGGUUCGGCCUUGAUCUUUUGUGAUAACCAAGCAACAGUGCAUAUUGCCACCAAUCCCAUCUUUCAUGAACGGACCAAACACAUAGAGAUAGAUUGCCAUUUUGUACAAAAUAAAGUCAAUGAAGUAUUCAUCAAGUUACUUCCGAUUCGAACAAAUCAUCAACUUGCUGACAUCUUUACAAAACCUUUGCCAGCAGCUAUGCUCUCUCAUUUACUAUCCAAAAUGGCUGUAAUUAAUCUUCACAGUCCAUCUUGAGGGGAGUAUUAAGAUCAGUGGAAGCACUUGGCGGCAAACAUUAGUUUAGUUAGUUGAAAUCAGUUGCAGUUAGUUGUUAAUUAUAGCUAGUUUUUCCACUUUCCCGCCUCUCUUUUGGAUUGCUAUUUAUAGCACAUGUAUAUCUCAUUUCGAACUUGAAUAAGAAAAUUCAUUUUUCCAAAUCCUCAACACCCCCCCCCCCUUUGCACCAAUUCAUGGAAAAGAAGUCACGUGAGGGAGAGGGGGAAUGAAUUCCAUGGAAAAUUCUCCUAAUCAAACAACGAAAAAUGUGGAAAAUGAAAAAAAAAAAAAUCCAUAUCAAAUAGGGCCUUAGUAAUUAAGCAAUGAAUUGGGUCCACGAGCUCAAGAAAAUUUAUAAUGGAUUAUGAUAUCGGCGAAUAUGACUAAGAUGCAUGAAGCAUACCCCUCAUAAGUUUGUAUUAUGUUUUAUUUUCAUUAACAAUAGCAAUGGCGCUAUUUCGCACUUUGUUGUUGGUAGUGUUUUUCUCAUGUUAAUUCAAGCCUCUGACUCUAGAAAUCAAGUGAAUUCAUGAAUUCGUCGUGUUUUCUAUUUUCUUUCAAAAUUCCUUCUACUUUUCUGCCCUUAGUAUAAAGUUUUCUCUAGAAUACCCAAGGAAAAGAUAAAAGGAUAAGAAAAUAGAAUAAUAUUUUACAAUGAAUUAGUCCAAAGAUUACACUUAAAUGCUACUCAUAAAUAAUAUGCAAAUUAGUCCCACGACUGCCACCAAAAUAACGUAUAACAAGGCAACCACUUGACGUUGUAAAGUAACAAUUAUACUUAAUUUUUCAUUUAUAAUACCCAUUUAAUUAAUGUAGUCUUCAACUUAGAACCUCAAGUCUCCCUGACAUUUUAUUUUAGUAUUCCUAUACAGAGCAGAAAUCUUAAAAAUAAAACAGAAAUCUCAAGUUAUAUAUAUAAAGAUCAUGGCAUAAAAACCCGCAGCUGUGGAGAGAGCAUUGGCAUUUUUUUAUGGUUGAAUGCAUGGUGACGGCUAUUGGGGAAAUCAGGUCAAUAUUAAAUAUGAUAUCUAGCAAUAAUGCUGGGAAAUAACAAUUUCGUCUUUAUUGUGACAAAUACUUUUUAUAAAAAAACAUUGCAUGGUAAAUAAAUAAAUAACAAAAAUAAAAAUACAUACGGAAUACAUAAAUAAUUUUCAUUGCAAGGUUUUUUGUUCUUUUCUUAUAGAAGUUUUAUAGCAAAUAUUAAUAGUUCUUAUUGACGGAAUUCACGAGCGUCUACUUUCCAUCGCUAUUCGCUAGUGAUUUUUUAUAGUGACAUUUUAUAUUAAUAAUCAAGUUAAACAUAAUAUAAAAUUAGAAAGUGACUUGGCUUGACCUUCACCUAUAUGUGCAAUAAAAUUAAGCUAACGGCAUUGCUAUUGCUUUUAUUUCGAGUGGUGUUGUCUACUAUGAAUGAUAAGGAACCGCAUUCUAAACUAUUCCCCUGUUUGGUGGUAAUUUUUCAUCUCAAAAAAAUGAAAAUUUUGAUCGUUAUUUCAUUAUUUCAAUCGCUAUUUUUUUACUUCUUUAUUUAGAGGUGGGAUCCACUUUCCUCUCUAAUGAUCAAAUAAUCAAUUCUCAUAAUCACUAUUGAACAGAUCCUAUGACUUUAACAACUUGCUUAGACAUUUAAGAUCUUCUACCUAAAUAUGAGUCAGAAUAAAACUAAACUUUUUUUUCUAUGAUGGGGGAAUCCACAGCUGCUACCCUUCGGGUGCGUAUUAAGUAAAUUCUCGGGCUGACGCAAUAGCCUGUAAACUACGCCAGUCAAAUAAACUGCACUAGGCAAACUCUGUGCAACAAGCUCGACCGAGAAAAUGUUGGUAGGGAAAAUCGAACUCAUGACCAAAGGUCUCCGCGCUCACCUUCUCCAUCAACUCGGCUACCCCAUGUGGGGCAGAUUCAAACUAUUUAAAAAAAAAAUGUUGAACCCAACCAUGAGGGCCCCACUGCCCCAUCGUUAGAGUUUUGUGAGAGAGGUAAAUUGCGAGAUGUGUCCCAACAGGUUAGGAAACAAGAACUGCUUAUACACUGUGCCUACAAGGAGUCAAAUUCCUUGUCUCAGGAAUCGAACCCCCACACUUUAACUACAUGUGGUUAAACAUUCAAGCAUCUAUUUUGCAAACUUUUUUAAUCAAUUUAUAAAAAGUCAAAUAUAUAAAUGAUAAACUGUACGUUUCAAUGGACCUACAAAUAAUAUUCACUUAUUUACUAUUUCUUUCUAUUUAUUUACAAAUUAUACUGUUUAUAAAUUCUUUUAAAACCCUGGCCAUUUGUAAAUAUUUCUAGUUAGAAGGUCAAAUAUUUGCAAUAAACCAACCCACAUUAAUGGUUUCAAAAUAUUUCUACUCAGUAGUUUCAGUUUCCAAUAUUAAAGCAUAAUUACUAAUUUAAUUGUCAAAACUGCCAUAGUUUAACCAAUGUGGAAAAAUUUAUCACCUUGUCAACGUAAAAUUUAAAGACAAUAAAUGCAAUAAAAUUCUUAAACGAAGGUAGAAAUUAAAUAGCAAAGAAGAAAACACAGUUUCAAAAACAUAUAAAUUUCUCACCUCUUGUUUAAUCCAUUUAAAUCGAAAAUGCCUAACACCAGAACCAUGCAAGCAAUUGCCCUUAUAUUUGUGUCCAUUUCAAUGAUGGCUGCACCAAACUUUGCACAGCAACAAAAUGUAAGUGAACCAUAUAUUCCCGGUGCCGGUUUGAUUCAUUUUUUGCAAUGCUUUCACUCGGUUUUAACCAUCCCGAGGUGUCCCAAGGAACAGAUAAUAUCCAUGUUGAACCUUAAAUUCGAAUUACUUGGUCCAGAAUGUUGUGAAGCACUCUUGAAUGUUGAUUACAGCUGUUGGCCUAAGGUGUUGCCUGCGAAUCCCUUUUUUCCAACGAUCAUCAAGAACUAUUGUUUGUCGACACUAGAUUGAGAAGUGUUACAGGUUUACAGCGUCAUAGCUGAGAUGAAUUUCAAGAAACUUCAAAAUAAGGUGGUUAAAUUUGAGGAAACGCAGCUUCAUUUUUUUUUUCUUUUGUUUUUUUCUCUUUUUUGGUUCCCAGAGAUUGCAAGAAAAAAUUUCUCGAAAUCAGAAGUAAUGCCAGUUUCUUCUCUGUUCUUACCGUAUGAAAGAAUAAAUUAGGUUAUUUUCAGC